Molecule: microRNA precursor, 70 nt
Organism: Gasterosteus aculeatus (three-spined stickleback)
Lineage: Eukaryota; Metazoa; Chordata; Actinopteri; Perciformes; Gasterosteidae
Rfam family: miR-430 microRNA precursor family
Source: Rfam
AUGGUUACCCUUACAAAAACACUGACUUUGGUUCUCAAUACAGUAAGUGCUUUUUGUUGGGGUAGUUUUG